Long non-coding RNA from Eurytemora carolleeae, 376 nucleotides. RefSeq lists it as uncharacterized. The record is from RefSeq and is a predicted model, not a curated record. The transcript is spliced from 2 exons. NCBI's taxonomy places the organism in Eukaryota, Metazoa, Arthropoda, Copepoda, Calanoida, Temoridae.
UUAAACCCGAAUUCCUUAUUUUACAGAACUUUAUAGGUUUAAAUUAAAGCUCGCUCAUUUGUUAGUUUUGAACAACACGAUUGUUCCAUCCAGUUCUGUUUGAUGGUGAUUCUCUUUUUAGGGAGUCGAGGGUAGAGGCCAUCAGUACCGGGGUAGAGAGAAUGAAGGAGAGGAUGAAGAUGAAGGGGAGAAGAAGCCAGGCUCCAAGUUCUCCGAUCUAAUGAAAGGGAAUGUUCAGAUAAAAGAAUGAGAAAACGAGAAGAUUUAAAUUUGUUCAGAAAAUGCCGAAAGUAUAAUAUAAGUAAGGAUGUUUUAUACAAAUGGCUGCCUAACCUUAGUCAUUCUUUUUAUAAAAUACAUUUAUGUUUUAAUAUUA